RNAcentral lists this ribosomal RNA (229 nucleotides) under Salmonella enterica subsp. enterica serovar Derby. RNAcentral's name for it is "partial 16S ribosomal RNA". It matches the Rfam family "Bacterial small subunit ribosomal RNA", at positions 1029 to 1258 of the family's 1533-position model. Lineage: Bacteria; Pseudomonadati; Pseudomonadota; Gammaproteobacteria; Enterobacterales; Enterobacteriaceae. The record is from RNAcentral.
GUGAGACAGGUGCUGCAUGGCUGUCGUCAGCUCGUGUUGUGAAAUGUUGGGUUAAGUCCCGCAACGAGCGCAACCCUUAUCCUUUGUUGCCAGCGAUUAGGUCGGGAACUCAAAGGAGACUGCCAGUGAUAAACUGGAGGAAGGUGGGGAUGACGUCAAGUCAUCAUGGCCCUUACGACCAGGGCUACACACGUGCUACAAUGGCGCAUACAAAGACAAGCGACCUCGC